This 330-nucleotide ribosomal RNA is filed under the name uncultured eukaryote. RNAcentral describes it as "partial 18S ribosomal RNA". It matches the Rfam family "Eukaryotic small subunit ribosomal RNA", at positions 1470 to 1796 of the family's 1831-position model. The record is from RNAcentral.
CCCUUAGAUGUCCGGGGCCGCACGCGCGCUACACUGAAGGAAUCAGCGUGGCUUUCUCCCUGACCCGAAAGGGUUGGGAAACCCGUUGAAUCUCCUUCGUGAUAGGGAUUGGGGCUUGAAAUUGUUCCCCAUGAACGAGGAAUUCCCAGUAAGCGCGAGUCAUAAGCUCGCGUUGAUUACGUCCCUGCCCUUUGUACACACCGCCCGUCGCACCAAUUGAUUGGAUGACUCGAUGAAAAAUCAGGACUGAGAUUUCUUUUGCUUCAUUGCAGAGGAAGUUUUGGGAAUCUUUUUAAAUCUCGUUAUCUAGAGAUUGGUGAAGUCGUAACA